AGGGAACUAGUCCAAAACAAGACCUUUGAUUUCGACUCAAAAAAUUAUGGUUUAAUUCCAUAGUCCCCUA
This 70-nucleotide transfer RNA is filed under the name Crenuchus spilurus (sailfin tetra). RNAcentral describes it as "tRNA-Arg". It matches the Rfam family "tRNA". From Rfam's summary of the family: Transfer RNA (tRNA) molecules are approximately 80 nucleotides in length. Their secondary structure includes four short double-helical elements and three loops (D, anti-codon, and T loops). Lineage: Eukaryota; Metazoa; Chordata; Actinopteri; Characiformes; Crenuchidae. The record is from RNAcentral.